GCGGUGCAUUUGCGGGUGGAGUGCGCCGAGACGCCCGGUGCAGCGGUGCAAGCCCGGUUCAGAGGCCAAACGCUUCGGCGGUUGGAACCCGUGCCGUGGGGAGUGCCGUUUGUGCUGGGUGCGAGACCAAGGGCGGUGGUUUCGGGCCCGGGUGGGCGCCGAGCUGGCAAUUGGAGGCGGUCGCGUGCGACACGUGCCGGCGGUCAGUUCGGUCCUGCUCGAGCUCUCACAACGCAAGUUCUCGGUGUAAAAGCCGGUCAUCUGUCCGACCCGUCUUGAAACACGGACAAGGAGUUUAGCGUGUGCGCAAGUCAUUGGGCGUUCAAAACCCAAAGGCGCAAUGAAAGUGAAGGUCUCCCUCGUUGGAGCUGACGUGUGAUCCUGGCCACUGCGGUGUGUCGGGAGCAACAUGGUCCCGUUCUGGCCGCUUGCGGCGGAGCGGAGACAGAGCGUACGCGCUG
RNAcentral lists this ribosomal RNA (461 nucleotides) under Scutellonema paralabiatum. Its description in RNAcentral is "eukaryotic LSU rRNA". The stretch from base 288 to 461 matches the Rfam family "Eukaryotic large subunit ribosomal RNA", at positions 667 to 811 of the family's 3401-position model. The record is from RNAcentral. Lineage: Eukaryota; Metazoa; Nematoda; Chromadorea; Rhabditida; Hoplolaimidae.